This 449-nucleotide ribosomal RNA is filed under the name uncultured bacterium. RNAcentral describes it as "bacterial SSU rRNA". It matches the Rfam family "Bacterial small subunit ribosomal RNA", at positions 28 to 478 of the family's 1533-position model. The record is from RNAcentral.
GAUGAACGCUGGCGGCGUGCUUAACACAUGCAAGUCGAACGGGAAUUACUUUAUUGAAACUUCGGUCGAUAUAAUUUAAUUCUAGUGGCGGACGGGUGAGUAACGCGUGGGUAACCUGCCUUAUACAGGGGGAUAACAGUCAGAAAUGGCUGCUAAUACCGCAUAAGCGCACAGAGCUGCAUGGCUCAGUGUGAAAAACUCCGGUGGUAUAAGAUGGACCCGCGUUGGAUUAGCUAGUUGGUGGGGUAACGGCCCACCAAGGCGACGAUCCAUAGCCGGCCUGAGAGGGUGAACGGCCACAUUGGGACUGAGACACGGCCCAGACUCCUACGGGAGGCAGCAGUGGGGAAUAUUGCACAAUGGGGGAAACCCUGAUGCAGCGACGCCGCGUGAAGGAAGAAGUAUCUCGGUAUGUAAACUUCUAUCAGCAGGGAAGAUAGUGACGGUAC